UAGGGAAUCUUCGGCAAUGGACGAAAGUCUGACCGAGCAACGCCGCGUGAGUGAAGAAGGUUUUCGGAUCGUAAAACUCUGUUGUUAGAGAAGAACAAGGACGUUAGUAACUGAACGUCCCCUGCCGGUAUCUAACCAGAAAGCCACGGCUAACUACGUGCCAGCAGCCGCGGUAAUACGUAGGUGGCAAGCGUUGUCCGGAUUUAUUGGGCGUAAAGCGAGCGCAGGCGGUUUCUUAAGUCUGAUGUGAAAGCCCCCGGCUCAACCGGGGAGGGUCAUUGGAAACUGGGAGACUUGAGUGCAGAAGAGGAGAGUGGAAUUCCAUGUGUAGCGGUGAAAUGCGUAGAUAUAUGGAGGAACACCGGUGGCGAAGGCGGCUCUCUGGUCAGUAACUGACGCUGAGGCUCGAAAGCGUGGGGAGCAAACAGG
Molecule: ribosomal RNA, 429 nt
Filed under: Gemmatimonadota bacterium
Lineage: Bacteria; Pseudomonadati; Gemmatimonadota
Description: Gemmatimonadetes bacterium partial 16S ribosomal RNA
Rfam family: Bacterial small subunit ribosomal RNA
Source: RNAcentral